RNAcentral lists this ribosomal RNA (1065 nucleotides) under uncultured Bacillus sp. Its description in RNAcentral is "bacterial SSU rRNA". It matches the Rfam family "Bacterial small subunit ribosomal RNA", at positions 337 to 1394 of the family's 1533-position model. The record is from RNAcentral. Lineage: Bacteria; Bacillati; Bacillota; Bacilli; Caryophanales; Bacillaceae.
UCCUACGGGAGGCAGCAGUAGGGAAUCUUCCGCAAUGGACGAAAGUCUGACGGAGCAACGCCGCGUGAGUGAUGAAGGUUUUCGGAUCGUAAAACUCUGUUGUUAGGGAAGAACAAGUACCGUUCGAAUAGGGCGGUACCUUGACGGUACCUAACCAGAAAGCCACGGCUAACUACGUGCCAGCAGCCGCGGUAAUACGUAGGUGGCAAGCGUUGUCCGGAAUUAUUGGGCGUAAAGCGCGCGCAGGCGGUUUCUUAAGUCUGAUGUGAAAGCCCCCGGCUCAACCGGGGAGGGUCAUUGGAAACUGGGGAACUUGAGUGCAGAAGAGGAGAGUGGAAUUCCACGUGUAGCGGUGAAAUGCGUAGAGAUGUGGAGGAACACCAGUGGCGAAGGCGACUCUCUGGUCUGUAACUGACGCUGAGGCGCGAAAGCGUGGGGAGCGAACAGGAUUAGAUACCCUGGUAGUCCACGCCGUAAACGAUGAGUGCUAAGUGUUAGAGGGUUUCCGCCCUUUAGUGCUGCAGCAAACGCAUUAAGCACUCCGCCUGGGGAGUACGGUCGCAAGACUGAAACUCAAAGGAAUUGACGGGGGCCCGCACAAGCGGUGGAGCAUGUGGUUUAAUUCGAAGCAACGCGAAGAACCUUACCAGGUCUUGACAUCCUCUGACAACCCUAGAGAUAGGGCUUCCCCUUCGGGGGCAGAGUGACAGGUGGUGCAUGGUUGUCGUCAGCUCGUGUCGUGAGAUGUUGGGUUAAGUCCCGCAACGAGCGCAACCCUUGAUCUUAGUUGCCAGCAUUCAGUUGGGCACUCUAAGGUGACUGCCGGUGACAAACCGGAGGAAGGUGGGGAUGACGUCAAAUCAUCAUGCCCCUUAUGACUUGGGCUACACACGUGCUACAAUGGGCAGAACAAAGGGCAGCGAAGCCGCGAGGCUAAGCCAAUCCCACAAAUCUGUUCUCAGUUCGGAUCGCAGUCUGCAACUCGACUGCGUGAAGCUGGAAUCGCUAGUAAUCGCGGAUCAGCAUGCCGCGGUGAAUACGUUCCGGGGCCUUGUACACACCGCC